GAGGAAUUGCGGUAGAAUGAGCCCUGUAGCAUGCAGAUAAUUGGGAAUUUUCUCCCUUUUUUUAAUACCAUGUUACCAGUGUCAUUCCUAUUUUAAAAUAUUUUAAAGGUGAAAAGUAAGGAGAAAACUUUCCCUUGUUUGGAAAAAAGAGGUAAAAGUUAAAGGAGGAAAAUAACAUUAAACUUUCUUCUUUUAAAGUUAGAGAAAAAGGGAGAGAUAAGUUCCGUUUUUUCUCCACUUAUGAUAGUCUCCAAAUGCCCCUUGACAAUUAGAGCUGUUCUUAUAAAUUUACUACAUUAAAACUUCAUCUCAAUUGAUUAAAACAAAUAAGCAAAUAAAAUAAUGCCAACAAAAACAGCAAGAAGAAAUAUCCUACUACCAUUAGAACUGUUUAAAAGACAGUUAACAAAAACAUUGGAAUCUUUCAGUUUUAGAUCCCACCUUUCAUGCAAAGUGCAUGGAAUGCAUAUGCAUUUAUCAUACUUUAAUGGUUGAUCACCAAAGGACACAUCUUAAGGCAUUUUGCUUGAGCGUCACCCAAAGGCAAAAAUCAAGACACACAGAAGCCAAAGCAUUUUCAAAUAAGCCAUGUAACUGGACUUAAAGGGAGCAAGGUAAUGAAAUUUAAUUAUUCACUGUGCAUUCCAUUAAGAAUUUGCAACACCAACGAUUCAAGUGUAUUUGGUCCCUCAGAAUCAAGACACAAAUCUAGCCAAAGGUAACUUUUUUUUCGCAACUUAUGGACUCUUUUGAAAUUUGGAACACAAAAGCAGAUUUUUGGGAGUUUACCACAACAUUGUCUCAUCAGAAAA
This 812-nucleotide unclassified non-coding RNA is filed under the name Hevea brasiliensis (rubber tree). The record is from RNAcentral. Lineage: Eukaryota; Viridiplantae; Streptophyta; Magnoliopsida; Malpighiales; Euphorbiaceae.